Molecule: ribosomal RNA, 293 nt
Filed under: uncultured bacterium
Lineage: Bacteria
Also listed under: 2 other names
Description: partial 16S ribosomal RNA
Source: RNAcentral
GGACUACCGGGGUAUCUAAUCCCGUUUGCUCCCCUGGCUUUCGCGCACUCAGCGUCAGAAAGGGUCCAGCACCUCGCCUUCGCCACCGGAGUUCCGCUGGAUAUCAACGCAUUUCACCGCUCCACCCAGCGUUCCAGAUGCCCCUACCCUCCUCCAGACUCGCAGUAUCCACGGCACUUCCCCAGUUGAGCUGGGGGCUUUCACCACAGACUGGCGAGUCCGCCUACGCGCCCUUUAAGCCCAGUGAAUCCGAACAACGUUCGCACGGUUCGUCUUACCGCGGCUGCUGGCAC